GCUGGGCAUGGUGGCGCAUGCCUGUAAUCCCAGCUACUUGGGAAGCUGAGGUAGGAGAAUUGCUUGAACCCAGGAGGCGGAUGUUGCAGUGACCUGAGGUUGGGCCACUGCAAUCCAGCCUGGAUGACAGAGUAAAACUCCAUCUCAA
This 148-nucleotide non-coding RNA is filed under the name Nomascus leucogenys (northern white-cheeked gibbon). Lineage: Eukaryota; Metazoa; Chordata; Mammalia; Primates; Hylobatidae. The record is from Rfam by way of RNAcentral.